Eriocheir sinensis (Chinese mitten crab) is the source of this 1227-nucleotide long non-coding RNA. RefSeq lists it as uncharacterized. The transcript has 4 exons. The record is from RefSeq and is a predicted model, not a curated record. Lineage: Eukaryota; Metazoa; Arthropoda; Malacostraca; Decapoda; Varunidae.
UAUCACCUUUACUGACAUACAAGGGGUGUAGGUUAUCUCAUUUAUCACAUUUACCGACAUACAAGGGGUGUAGGUUAUCUCAUUUAUCACAUUUAUUGACAUACAAGGGGUGUAGGUUAUCUCAUUUAUCACAUUUACUGACAUACAAGGGGUGUAGGUUAUCUCAUUUAUCACCUUUACUGACAUACAAGGGGUGUAGGUUAUCUCAUUUAUCACAUUUACUGACAUACAAGGGUGUAGGUUAUCUCAUUUAUCACAUUUACUGACAUACAAGGGUGUAGGUUACCUCAUUUAUCACAUUUACUGACAUACAAGGGUGUAGGUUAUCUCAUUUAUCACAUUUACUGACAUACAAGGGUGUAGGUUAUCUCAUUUAUCACAUUUACUGACAUACAAGGGGUGUAGGUUAUCUCAUUUAUCACAUUUACUGACAUACAAGGGGUGUAGGUUAUCUCAUUUAUCACAUUUACUGACAUACAAGGGGUGUAGGUUAUCUCAUUUAUCACAUUUACUGACAUACAAGGGGUGUAGGUUAUCUCAUUUAUCACAUUUACCAACAUACAAGGGGUGUAGGUUAUCUCAUUUAUCACAUUUACCAACAUACAAGGGGUGUAGGUUAUCUCAUUUAUCACAUUUACCAACAUACAAGGGGUGUAGGUUAUCUCAUUUAUCACAUUUACCAACAUACAAGGGGUGUAGGUUAUCUCAUUUAUCACAUUUACCAACAUACAAGGGGUGUAGGUUAUCUCAUUUAUCACAUUUACCAACAUACAAGGGGUGCAGGUUACAUCAUUUAUCAUAUAUACCGACGUACAAGGGGAGCAUGUUAUCUCCUUUAUCACAUUUACCGACAUACCUCAUUUACCUCAUUUACUAACAUACAAAGGGUGCAGGAAGAAACUUUCAUAUUUCAAGCAAUUUUCAAAUUCAAAACAUACGUCAACAUUUAUUUUUAAAAAGAUAAAAAAACAAACUCAGGUGGGACAUAUCGCAAUAGGCAGUCAACAAAGACACGGUACCAUGUCGCAAUUCAUCCACCCUUUGUUUGUAAACAACUCCCGCGCAGGCGCAAAUUGGAUAGGAUGUCUUAGGAUACGUAGAUGGCUGAUGACACCACACCGAGUAGGACACAUAGCAAUGAUAAGUUCAGGUUCAAUAAAGACAUAGGCAAGAAUUGGUUUACCAACAGUGAUGGAUGAGUGGAACAGACGUAGAAGUCAUGUGAGG